CCCACGUCAGGUUUCCUGAUGUAACGAAUAUUUCAAUGCUUCUUGCUUCGGCAAGGUUGAUCCCGACGCUUGCGUGUCGGGAUUU
This is a non-coding RNA of Kluyvera ascorbata ATCC 33433, 85 nucleotides long. Lineage: Bacteria; Pseudomonadati; Pseudomonadota; Gammaproteobacteria; Enterobacterales; Enterobacteriaceae. The record is from Rfam.